Molecule: long non-coding RNA, 253 nt
Organism: Saccostrea cuccullata (small rock oyster)
Lineage: Eukaryota; Metazoa; Mollusca; Bivalvia; Ostreida; Ostreidae
Exons: 3
Source: RefSeq, a predicted model, not a curated record
GGUUGAUCAGGGAAACCCAGGGACAUCCAGAGAGAAGGGCGAUAUUGGAAAUAAGGGAGCCCAAGGGCUUCCCGGUGAUAAAGGUGACAAUAGCCUUAAAGAAAAUUCAGGAAAAGGACUUGAUCCCAAGUGUCUUUGUAAAUUUAGAUUUCAGAGGAACAACCAAAUUCAGAGCAGAAUUCUCGACAGAGUCAUGAUGGCGUGUCCGAUAGGCAAUGGUACCAUAGUUAAUGUUACAUGGUCAAAAGAAGGG